CCUACGGGGGGCAGCAGUGGGGAAUCUUGCGCAAUGGCCGAAAGGCUGACGCAGCGACGCCGCGUGUGGGAGGAAGCUUUUCGGAGUGUAAACCACUGUCGGGGGGGACGAAGGUCCAGGGGAGGAAAUGCCCUUGGGAUGACGGUACCCCCAGAGGAAGCACCGGCUAACUUCGUGCCAGCAGCCGCGGUAAUACGAAGGGUGCGAGCGUUGUUCGGAAUUAUUGGGCGUAAAGCGCACGUAGGCGGCCUUGUAAGUCUCACUGUGAAAGCCCGGGGCUCAACCCCGGGAGGCCAGGGGAUACUGCGAGGCUGGAGACAAGCAGAGGUUGGUAGAAUUCCGGGUGUAGCGGUGGAAUGCGUAGAGAUCCGGAGGAAUACCAGAGGCGAAGGCGGCCAACUGGGCUUGUUCUGACGCUGAGGUGCGAAAGCGUGGGGAGC
RNAcentral lists this ribosomal RNA (440 nucleotides) under uncultured bacterium. RNAcentral describes it as "bacterial SSU rRNA". It matches the Rfam family "Bacterial small subunit ribosomal RNA", at positions 338 to 769 of the family's 1533-position model. The record is from RNAcentral.